This 465-nucleotide ribosomal RNA is filed under the name uncultured bacterium. Its description in RNAcentral is "partial 16S ribosomal RNA". It matches the Rfam family "Bacterial small subunit ribosomal RNA", at positions 28 to 507 of the family's 1533-position model. The record is from RNAcentral.
GACGAACGCUGGCGGCGUGCUUAACACAUGCAAGUCGAACGGAAAGGCCCCUUUGGGGGUACUCGAGUGGCGAACGGGUGAGUAACACGUGAGUAACCUGCCCUUGACUUCGGGAUAACUUCAGGAAACUGGGGCUAAUACCGGAUAGGAAUCCUUGCUGCAUGGUGGGGGUUGGAAAGCUUCGGCGGUGUUGGAUGGACUCGCGGCUUAUCAGCUUGUUGGUGGGGUAGUGGCUUACCAAGGCUUUGACGGGUAGCCGGCCUGAGAGGGCGACCGGCCACAUUGGGACUGAGAUACGGCCCAGACUCCUACGGGAGGCAGCAGUGGGGAAUAUUGCACAAUGGGCGGAAGCCUGAUGCAGCAACGCCGCGUGCGGGAUGACGGCCUUCGGGUUGUAAACCGCUUUCAGCAGGGGCGAAGCUUGUGGUGACGGUACCUGCAGAAGAAGCACCGGCUAACUACGUG